AUCACCUGCUGAAGAUAAGUCUAACCUUUCGUCUGCAGAAUCUGAUGAGGCAAAACGAGGUCAGGGGAAAAGAAGCCGAACUGAUCAUGAACAAAACAAAGCUUCUUCAGAUAGUGCGGGAUCGGAUGAUGAGAUGAACAAAUCUGUCCUCCCGGCGCCACCAAGGUUCAACAAUUCUUUUUCCCAAGUUCCACCGCCAACCUCAUCGACCAGUCAAAUUGUGUCUGCUCCAGAAUCUAAUAUUUCUGUUAUGGUAUUAUGAGUAUUAUGAGUAUUAUUAGUAUUAUGAGUUUCAUAAUACUGGAUUCGGUGAGUUAGUUAUUUAGAUGUAGAUUAGAUGCAAAAUUAUUGGUCUAAUAUUUAUACACAAAUAUGUAUAUGCACAUUUUUAAGAUGCUGACGGGAAUCUAACGUUUCAGCUGGCUGAAACAGACUUCCUUCAAGAACAAGCUUCCACCGGACAGGAAAAAUCUGCAACUAUUACACAACCUGGGGUACUUAAUCAAACUAUGCAAAAUGGAUCUGCAAAUUAUGCUUCAAUUUUGAUGCAUGUAAAGGAAUUAAUUCGUGAAGUAUCAAUGAUCAAAUAUACCGUCAACAAUAUUGAGCGUAAAUUGGAUAACUUGAUUGCAGCCGGGAGCCAUCAAGAUUCAGCGGAUAAUGAUCAGCCGUCAAUUUUACAGCAGCCAUUUCAAUCCCUUGAGGAAUUUAAAGAAUUUGAUGCAGCCCUUUGC
Folsomia candida is the source of this 734-nucleotide long non-coding RNA. RefSeq lists it as uncharacterized. The transcript is spliced from 4 exons. Lineage: Eukaryota; Metazoa; Arthropoda; Collembola; Entomobryomorpha; Isotomidae. The record is from RefSeq and is a predicted model, not a curated record.